AUUGAACGCUGGCGGCAGGCCUAACACAUGCAAGUCGAGCGAGCGGCGGACGGGUGAGUAAUGUAUGGGGACUGCCCGAUAGAGGGGGAUAACUACUGGAAACGGUGGCUAAUACCGCAUACCAUCGGAUAACACAAAUGGGAUUAGCUAGUUGGUGGGGUAAAGGCUUACAUCUGCGACGAGCUCUAGCGGGUCUGAGAGGAUGAUCGUCCACAAUGGGACUGAGACACGGCCCAGACUCCUACGGAGGCAGCAGUGGGGAAGAUUGCACAAUGGGCGCAAGCCUGAUGCAGCGCUGCCGCGUGUAUGAAGAAGGCCUUAGGGUUGUAAAGUACUUUCAGCGGGGAGGCGUUACCCGCAGAAGAAGCACCGGCUAACUCCGUGCCAGCAGCCGCGGUAAUAC
This 403-nucleotide ribosomal RNA is filed under the name uncultured bacterium. RNAcentral's name for it is "partial 16S ribosomal RNA". It matches the Rfam family "Bacterial small subunit ribosomal RNA", at positions 30 to 526 of the family's 1533-position model. The record is from RNAcentral.